UUAACCUACUAAGUCUAAUACCAAAGUCAGAGCGCAGAAUGGGCCGGUUUGUGUACGAGAUAAACAUGUGGGUAGACACAGAAAAGCAAAGAUCAACACGACAUUAGGUGGAACUGAAUUUGCAAGCGGAACUACUAGUCAGAUUGGUUUUGUGAGACCAUGAAUAAUUCAGAAGGAAAAACUCUACACCAAAACGCACACACUUGAAUGCGCAGCAUCUUCAAACGAGCUGUUUUGCUGAUUGGAGAAAGAGAGUACGAAUGCUGGAGCGGGACGGCAAAACGUUCUUUCCGCGGGCGGCAGAACUUCAGCGCUGCUGCUGACAGCGGGACAGCAAGUACAGAUCCUUAUCUUGUACUGACGGAAGAAACGACAUUCACAGCAAGAAGACUGGGAAUUCAGAAGAAUAAUAUUCUUGGCUUACUGGUUUUUUAGUUUCAAAAGGAAAAAAAAGAGGAAGAAAUAGCCCUCGGAACAAAGAUCCUGGUUCUCUCCAAAAAGAUUUUAGUCAGGCUAUAUUCUUUUUGAGUCAGUUAUCUAAGAGCACCGGAGGGACAGAGAUUAUGGGGAUGAAAGGUACACUAUUAUACUGUUUACAUGAUCUGUCUUCUAAUUAUCUAUAUUGAAUUCUGUAGGUAAUUUUCUGAAAGAUGAUGCUUACUUAUUUGAACAAAUUUAGGAAGUCCUGAACUGCUUUCAGGCAGCAACGAUCUCAACGCUACUGGAUAUUAGAGUACAGUUGAGUCUCCAUUGCUAAACUUAUCUGAAAUCAAAUUGUUUUAAAUGUCCAACGCAACCAUGUACUUCUUUGGGAAUGGAGGCCCCUCAAAGGAAAAUCCUUGUUAUUGGGACAUAGAACAGGAUGUCUAAUACCUGGAAACUGCUGCCAGCCACUGCCUUUGGACUCCUGACAGCCUGUUUACUCAUGUAAAGUAACAGAACCAGCAGAUGGUGCUCAAGAAAACGCAGCCCAACUCAGGGGACUUGUAGCCCCGACGCAACCCGUGCCCAACAAAUGGCUUCCUCUAACACCUUUCUCCACAAAUGCCAAGAGAAGUGAACAGUCACUGUUUCACCAGCGUUAGAGUGGACAACGUUUGGCGAGCAGCCCACGCUCACCGUUAGCACUGCCCAGAGUAGCAGAUUCACACCUCCCGCCACCCAGGUCAUGGUGCUGCCUACCCAGGUCACACACAUGGGUCUCAGCUGAUUAUUAAGAUCAGGAUGAUUGAAACAAAUAAAGCAGCAGCUACUGUGAACCACUAAAACAAAGUGGCACCAAAAGAGCAGUUUGGGAGGGGGUGGAGUUGUAGGCAAUGUACAUAGAGGUGUCACUAAGGCAUGCACAACUCACCACGCUUCACCAGUUGCACAUCAUCAAUACUGGAUUAAUUUGGGUGUGAAACCAGUGCAUUCAGGCCCAUCUCUCACAAGCAUUAUUGGAAGAACUCCUCCAAAAAGCAAGAACCAAUGCCAAACUGGUACAAAGAAGCACUUGUAAACCUGCCUGCUCACAAGUGAUGCCCAUCACGUACUCAGCAAUGUGCAGCAGGAGCCAUUUCCUCCAAAAGAGUAACAGUGCCAGCUCGUGUGACUUUUUUGGAGGGGGCAGGUAUUUUUGCAGUGAGAAGAUUAAAUUUUCCUUCUAGAAGCCAUUUUUUUCAACAGUGUGUCUGUGUGAGCUCAAGAAUGACUGAAGAUUCCAUGAAGCUCAGUCCUGCCAUCAGGUCCAGCACAUGGUUGUUCUUCCUGGGAAGAGCCAUUGAGGUCUUUGUCCAGCAAUCGCAAUCAUCUUUCUGGGUUUUUAACCUGCAGAUUUAAUUGUGAAAUCCCGUUAAAGACGGAGUCCUGGCUACACCGCUCAAACACGACAGAAGCCAACAACUUGAGAGACCUGCAUCACUUUUGUCCCAGCAUUUACAGAUCAUUACAAACUGACGCACUUGGUUGCUGAAGUUGUCAGUUCUGUUGACAUCCAGCCUGUAAAAAUCACGUACAUUGUUCGUUCGGUGUGUGAGGCUUCAAGACCCUUCUUGUAUGGCCCAUGUCACCUGUCACUCAGGAUUUCUUUUUUCAAGCAAUGAAAUAUCUGCCAUCAUGUCCCUAAUUUACACACAGUUAAGGAGUCUUUGGCUACGCCUCAACUGGGUCCGGCGUCUUUCUACUUGAAAUCUUGUUAUAUUUUUGCCAAAGGAAUAUUUCACUGGUAGCAUUGCAUGGUUAACCAAAGCAUUUGGUAAGAUGGCAAGAGAUCAGAGAAAAUAGUUUCCUUUUAUCAGCAAGAAACCUUGUGGUCUGAAGUGCAGGACCGUUUCCUACCCAGCACACAGGCCAACAGCCCCGAUGGAGUUCUGCUGCUACCGGAACACCCUGGGACCUACAGCGCGGCUUCUCAAAAAGUACCGUCUAUAUGAAAAAAGUAACAUUUGAAAGUCAAAACAGGACUUUCAAAAUUACCGCAGGUUCCUUAUUUUUUGUUUGUUUGUUUGUUUUGCUUCUAUUUAUUCACACUUUACAAGGUAGGAACUUAUCUCUCUGAAUUAUCUCUCUUUUUUUAUUAUUAACUCAUUGAAUGCCAUCUGUAAAUAUGUUCACUGACUCACACUAAAACACGGUGAGCAAAAGGCCAGGCAUGCUUAAAGAAUCUGACAGGCAGAAAAGGAGGAUGGAACGAACCGAGACACAGAGAAACCUGCAAUUAUCAAUAGGAUGGAUUUUCUUCCCUUUUUGACAGGGCCAGGGUUCCCAAACCUAUCAUUACGAGGUCCUAAUUACAUAUCUCUGCAAUAGAUCACCCAGUUAAGGAGAAAUACCUACUGACUGGGAAACAUCACUAAUUGUUCCUUUUUUGUUGGCAUACUAUCUGAUUGGAGUAAUUACAGAGCUGCCUCCCCAUUCUCUUUUCCUCUGAAGAUUUUGCAGACAUAUUUCUUCACAGAUUGCAUAGAAUUUGGCCUCUUGAAUCUCUUGGCUUUAGCUUCUAUGUUCCUGUUUCCUACCUUUUUUCACUUGGAAUAUUACCUAUACUGCCCUAUGUGAGGACACCUAUUGAAACAUUUUCAGCAUCCCACCAUGCUACGCGCUGUACACGCUACAAAAAGUGCUUUGUUUCAAUCAUUAAGUUCUUCCACUAAUUUUAUAAAAGCUUUUGACUUCUGGAAUUAUCACACCAUAGAAAAUAAAAAAGGCUUAGACUAUUAA
This is a long non-coding RNA of Columba livia (rock pigeon), 3201 nucleotides long. RefSeq lists it as uncharacterized. NCBI's taxonomy places the organism in Eukaryota, Metazoa, Chordata, Aves, Columbiformes, Columbidae. The record is from RefSeq and is a predicted model, not a curated record. The transcript is spliced from 2 exons.